UACGGGGGGGGCAAGCGUUGUUCGGAAUUACUGGGCGUAAAGGGCGCGUAGGCGGUCAGACCAAGUCGAGUGUGAAAUUCCAGGGCUUAACUCUGGCGCGCUCGCUCGAUACUGGUCGGCUAGAGUGUGGAAGAGGAUGCUGGAAUUCCCGGUGUAGCGGUGAAAUGCGUAGAUAUCGGGAAGAACACCCGUGGCGAAGGCGGCACUCUGGGACGGUACUGACGCUGAGACGCGAAAGCGUGGGGAGCGAACAGG
RNAcentral lists this ribosomal RNA (255 nucleotides) under uncultured bacterium. RNAcentral's name for it is "partial 16S ribosomal RNA". It matches the Rfam family "Bacterial small subunit ribosomal RNA", at positions 524 to 776 of the family's 1533-position model. The record is from RNAcentral.